Podarcis lilfordi (Lilford's wall lizard) is the source of this 98-nucleotide non-coding RNA. Lineage: Eukaryota; Metazoa; Chordata; Lepidosauria; Squamata; Lacertidae. The record is from the annotation of a GenBank genome assembly.
CUUCCAGUAGCACCUUAGAGACCAACUGAGUUUGUUAUUGGUAUGUGCUUUCGUGUGCAUGCACACUUCUUAGUUGGUCUCUAAGGUGCUACUGGAAG